Molecule: ribosomal RNA, 469 nt
Filed under: Barteria dewevrei
Lineage: Eukaryota; Viridiplantae; Streptophyta; Magnoliopsida; Malpighiales; Passifloraceae
Description: eukaryotic LSU rRNA
Rfam family: 5.8S ribosomal RNA (bases 156-311)
Source: RNAcentral
CGGCGGGCCUGUYCCGUCUCCCCGUUCCCCGUCCCCACGAACAAAACCCCGGCGCAUGAUGCGCCAAGGAAUCGCAACGAGAAAAGGAACGUGCCCCCGUUGCGCGCCGGGAACGGAAUGCGCACGGGCGGCCUCGUAUUCUUUGAAAACAAAACGACUCUCGRCAACGGAUAUCUCGGCUCUCGCAUCGAUGAAGAACGUAGCGAAAUGCGAUACUUGGUGUGAAUUGCAGAAUCCCGUGAACCAUCGAGUCUUUGAACGCAAGUUGCGCCCGAAGCCUUCGGGCCGAGGGCACGUCUGCCUGGGUGUCAUGCACCGUCGCCCCCAUCCCCACUCCCCUGAGGGGAGKGGGGAAGCGCGGGGCGGACAAUGGCCUCCCGUGCGCUCUCGCUCGCGGUUGGCCUAAAUCCGAGUUGUUGGCGGCGAGCGCCACGGCAAGCGGUGGUUGGAAAGACCCUCUGAAGUGUCG